This is a long non-coding RNA of Acinonyx jubatus (cheetah), 913 nucleotides long. RefSeq lists it as uncharacterized. NCBI's taxonomy places the organism in Eukaryota, Metazoa, Chordata, Mammalia, Carnivora, Felidae. The transcript has 3 exons. The record is from RefSeq and is a predicted model, not a curated record.
CGCCCCGUCGUGUUUACAAGGCCGUAGGGUAGAGGCGACCCGCAAGUGAGGGAUCUUUUCCUGGUUUUCGAUUCCCACGUGGGUGACGCCUGCGACUUCCUCAGCAAGGAUAAGUUAGUGUGCUAGUCAGCUUCGCAUCCACCAUUUCAUCGAAACCGUACAACUAAGAGGAUUCGUUUUCCUAGUUUACAGGGAGGAUUCUUGCUAAAACAGGACUCAGCAAGCCAAGGACAGCGCCCAAGGUCAAGGCUGAGUCAGAAAGAGAACUGAGAAGAGCCUUGUCACUGGUCACCAGGGAUGUGUCAGAAAACAGCUUGCUGCAAAGAACCCCUUUUCCAUGUGACUUCCAGAAGCCUCGUGGAUGCUGCCCGUGUUUACCUCCGACAAGGCCAGGCACAGACCCUCCAAAUUCCCACUCUCUGCCUCAUAGGUGAUUAGCUGAACUGCUUGUCCCCAGUAAUCGAUCAGAGCAAAAUGCUGGUCAGCCAAAUUUCGUUAAAUUCUCUCCUUCCUCCAGCCCCUGAACUUUGGUCCACGCCCAGCCUAAGCCAGCAGGCGGUCCUUCUUGCAAAGAGGACAGAAUGUUCUCUGAUCCCCUGUCCCGUUAUGCUACUCUUUGAUCCCACUUUCUAGUUCUUUUCUGCAGCCUAUAAAAGAAAAAUCUUUUUGCCCAACCCUGACGAUGCUCGCAAACCUCAUUGAUUAGGGAGCGUGGGCCAAGCCAGGGGCAAAGUACAGGCUAACAGCACCCCCCUCCACCAGGUGGGGUAUGUGUGAUAUUCCUCCGACACUCCUGCCUACCCAAGAAUAGGGGAAAGGAAAGAAAGCAAAUAGUUAACUGAUAGAGAUCACAGUCCUUCAGGACAGGAGUCUCCUUCAGUUUACGGAUAACUUAGUAAACUGCAAGAAAAAG